RNAcentral lists this transfer RNA (75 nucleotides) under Candidatus Altimarinota bacterium. RNAcentral describes it as "tRNA-Asn". It matches the Rfam family "tRNA". Rfam says of the family: Transfer RNA (tRNA) molecules are approximately 80 nucleotides in length. The record is from RNAcentral. Lineage: Bacteria; Candidatus Altimarinota.
UCCUCAGUAGCUCAGUGGUAGAGCACACGACUGUUAAUCGUUAGGUCACUAGUUCGAAUCUAGUCUGGGGAGCCA